Zonotrichia albicollis (white-throated sparrow) is the source of this 796-nucleotide non-coding RNA. The record is from RefSeq and is a predicted model, not a curated record. Lineage: Eukaryota; Metazoa; Chordata; Aves; Passeriformes; Passerellidae.
GCUGGUGGUUCUUUGCUAAAUCUACAACACUUCCCAUUCUGGAAAUGCAGUGCAGGUGCUACUGGCUGGGAUUUCUCUGCAAAGGGAAGUCUCUGGGAUGCAGCAAGUCCUUCACAGAUUCAUUCUCAGAAGUUUCCACAAGGAAGAAUGUGUUUCAUCCAGCCUCUGUGUAGAAAAUCAGGAAGGGGAAAGGGAGAGUUACUGUCCUGUGUUAGGAGGAAACCCUGAAUUCUGUGCAUCUGACACAGCUUCUGUCAAGCAUGAAGCACAUAAAUGCAGGCUCUAUUCCCUGCUCACAACAAGGACCUCAGGAGCCCACCCUGCAAUUGACAGCUUUGACACAAACACUGCUGACUGAUGGGAAGAGUGUGCUACCCAUUUCCUGGCAGCAAAAUGAAUAUUCUUGCAAUGUUGCUUUCUCUUGUCAAGGACUGAAGUCAUUAGCACAUCCAAAUCUUUUACCUUUUGGGAAGUCAUUACUUUCAAAACUGUGGGAAAAAUACACUUUCUCUGCUGUGAUAUAUUAGAGUUAUCCUUUGAGGGAAUUUCAUAUGAGAAAAAGACAUGGAGAGGGAUUUCUUAUUAAGAUCUACAUUCAGCAGCUAACUGUAGCUAGAGUUGUACUCAUACAGUGGGGAGGGAAUGUACACACAAAUGCUUAUUUUAAUGAGAGAGAAAGUGUAGGUAGAAGCAGAUGACCUAGAUGAUUUUAUGAAUAAAAGAUUUAAUCUGAUGCAAUCAUUUCAUUAAUACACACAUGGCACCAAAUGAAAACAGAGCAUAGCAGAUGGCUAUG